AAUAGAUACCCAGGUAGUCCACGCCGUAAACUAUGAUUACUCGAUGUCGGCGAUAUACUGUCGGUGUCCAAGCGAAAGUGAUAAGUAAUCCACCUGGGGAGUACGAUCGCAAGGUUGAAACUCAAAGGAAUUGACGGGGGGCCCGCACAAGCGGUGGAGCAUGUGGUUUAAUUCGAUGAUACGCGAGGAACCUUACCUGGGCUUGAAUGCAUUAUGACCGUCCCGGAAACGGGACUUUCUUCGGACAGAAUGCAAGGUGCUGCAUGGUUGUCGUCAGCUCGUGCUGUGAGGUGUCGGGUUAAGUCCCAUAACGAGCGCAACCUCUAUUCUUAGUUGCCAGCGGGUAAUGCCGGGGACUCUAAGAAACUGCCCGCGUAAGCGGUGAGGAAGGUGGGGAUGACGUCAAAUCAUCACGGCCCUUACGUCCAGGGCUACACACGUGCUACAAUGGUCAGUACAAAGGGCAGCUACCUGGUGACAGGAUGCUAAUCUCGAAAACUGAUCUCAGUUCGGAUCGAAGU
This 521-nucleotide ribosomal RNA is filed under the name uncultured bacterium. RNAcentral's name for it is "bacterial SSU rRNA". It matches the Rfam family "Bacterial small subunit ribosomal RNA", at positions 777 to 1304 of the family's 1533-position model. The record is from RNAcentral.